This 417-nucleotide ribosomal RNA is filed under the name uncultured bacterium. Its description in RNAcentral is "bacterial SSU rRNA". It matches the Rfam family "Bacterial small subunit ribosomal RNA", at positions 1085 to 1501 of the family's 1533-position model. The record is from RNAcentral.
UCCCGCAACGAGCGCAACCCCUGUCCUUUGUUGCCAGCACGUAAUGGUGGGAACUCAAGGGAGACUGCCGGUGAUAAACCGGAGGAAGGUGGGGAUGACGUCAAGUCAUCAUGGCCCUUACGGCCAGGGCUACACACGUGCUACAAUGGCGCGUACAGAGGGCUGCAAGCUAGCGAUAGUGAGCGAAUCCCAAAAAGCGCGUCGUAGUCCGGAUCGGAGUCUGCAACUCGACUCCGUGAAGUCGGAAUCGCUAGUAAUCGCGAAUCAGAAUGUCGCGGUGAAUACGUUCCCGGGCCUUGUACACACCGCCCGUCACACCAUGGGAGUGGGUUGCACCAGAAGUAGAUAGCUUAACCUUCGGGAGGGCGUUUACCACGGUGUGAUUCAUGACUGGGGUGAAGUCGUAACAGGGUAACC